Molecule: ribosomal RNA, 1380 nt
Filed under: metagenome
Description: bacterial SSU rRNA
Rfam family: Bacterial small subunit ribosomal RNA
Source: RNAcentral
UUUGGAAACGGGGGUUAAUACCGGAUGUGGUGAGGCGUCGCAUGGCGCCGAAUCUAAAGAUGGGGAUUCUUCGGAACCUGUCGCUUAUGGAUGGGCUCGCGCACUAUCAGCUAGUUGGUGAGGUAACGGCUCACCAAGGCUAAGACGGUUAGGUGGUCUGAGAGGAUGGUCACCCCCACUGGGACUGAGACACUGCCCAGACUCCUACGGGAGGCUGCAGUCGAGAAUCAUUCGCAAUGCGCGAAAGCGUGACGAUGCGACGCUGCGUGCAGGAUGAAGGCCUUCGGGUUGUAAACUGCUGUCAGGAGGGAGUAAUGUUUCGAUCAUUAAUACCGAUCGGAAGUGAUAGUACCUCCAGAGGAAGCCACGGCUAACUCUGUGCCAGCAGCCGCGGUAAUACAGAGGUGGCGAGCGUUGUUCGGAUUUACUGGGCGUAAAGGGUGCGUAGGCGGCAUCGUAUGUCGGAUGUGAAAGCCCACUGUUCAUCGGUGGAAUGGCAUUUGAAACUGCGGAGCUAGAGUACGGUAGAGGAGAGCGGAAUUCAUGGUGUAGCGGUGAAAUGCGUAGAUAUCAUGAAGAACACCGGUGGCGAAGGCGGCUCUCUGGAACGAUACUGACGCUGAGGCACGAAAGCUGGGGGAGCAAAAAGGAUUAGAUACCCUUGUAGUCCCAGCCGUAAACGGUGCGCACUUGAUGUAGGUCGGUUUACCCCGAUCUGUGUCGGAGCUAACGUGUUAAGUGCGCCGCCUGGGGAGUACGGUCGCAAGGCUAAAACUCAAAGGAAUUGACGGGGACCCGCACAAGCGGUGGAGCAUGUGGCUUAAUUCGAUGCAACGCGAAGAACCUUACCCAGGCUUGACAUGUAACUGCACGUCCGGUGAAAGUCGGACUCCUUCGAGGGUGUUACACAGGUGCUGCAUGGCUGUCGUCAGCUCGUGCCGUGAGGUGUUGGGUUAAUUCCCGCAACGAGCGCAACCCUUGUAAUUAGUUGCAAGUCGACCCGAAAGGGUUGGCGCACUCUAGUUAGACUGCCCGUGAUAAGCGGGAGGAAGGUGGGGAUGACGUCAAGUCCGUAUGGCCCUUAUGCCUGGGGCUGCACACGUGCUACAAUGGGCGGCACAGAAGGAUGCAAGACCGCGAGGUGGAGCAAAUCCUGAAAACCGUCCGCAGUUCGGAUUGAAGUCUGCAACUCGACUUCAUGAAGCCGGAAUCGCUAGUAAAGGCGUAUCAGCUACGACGCCUUGAAUACGUUCCCGGGUCUUGUACACACCGCCCGUCACAUCAUGAAAGCCGAUUGCACCCGAAGUCGCUUAUCCAACCCGUAAGGGAGGCAGGCGCCGAAGGUGUGGUUGGUAAUUGGGAUGAAGUCGUAACAAGGUA